Molecule: ribosomal RNA, 506 nt
Filed under: uncultured bacterium
Lineage: Bacteria
Description: partial 16S ribosomal RNA
Rfam family: Bacterial small subunit ribosomal RNA
Source: RNAcentral
AGUGAACGCUGGCGGUAGGCCUAACACAUGCAAGUCGAACGGCAGCACAGGAGAGCUUGCUCUCUGGGUGGCGAGUGGCGGACGGGUGAGGAAUACAUCGGAAUCUACUUUUUCGUGGGGGAUAACGUAGGGAAACUUACGCUAAUACCGCAUACGACCUACGGGUGAAAGCAGGGGACCUUCGGCCCUUGCGCGAUUGAAUGCGCCGAUGUCGGAUUAGCUAGUUGGCGGGGUAAAGGCCCACCAAGGCGACGAUCCUUAGCUGGGCUGAGAGGGUGAACAGCCACACUGGCGCUGAGACACGGUCCAGACUCCUACGGGAGGCAGCAGUGGGGAAUAUUGGACAAUGGGCGCAAGCCUGAUCCAGCCAUACCGCGUGGGUGAAGAAGGCCUUCGGGUUGUAAAGCCCUUUUGUUGGGAAAGAAAUCCAGCUGGCUAAUACCCGGUUGGGAUGACGGUACCCAAAGAAUAAGCGCCGGCUAACUUCGUGCCAGCCGCCGCCGUAA